Molecule: ribosomal RNA, 1133 nt
Filed under: Flabellina affinis
Lineage: Eukaryota; Metazoa; Mollusca; Gastropoda; Nudibranchia; Flabellinidae
Description: large subunit ribosomal RNA
Source: RNAcentral
UAACAAGAGACUUAGUAGUUUUAUUGCUAUACCGUCUUAGGUUUUUAUUUAUUGGUUAUUUAGAAAGAAGUAUAUGUUAAUUUACAUCUCUUUUGGUUGAGAGGAAUCAUGUUUAUGGCUUUCUUUUUAUAAAUUUUACAGGUUAUAGGUUUUACAUAUUUUAUGUUAUUUAAAUUACAGUUAUGGAAUAAAUUUAUUAUUAAAAAUUUUGUUUUUCUUACCUUUUGUAUAAUGGUUAAACUAAAAUUAGAUUAUUUAAUUUUUCCCGAAUUGAGAAGAGCUAUCUAAAAACCAGUUUUAGGUUGGUAAAACUUAUGUGGAAAUAUGGGUGGAAGAUUUUUAGAUAGGGGCGAAAUACUUUCAAUCUCAAGAUAUCUGGAAGCUCGAGAAAAGCAUUUAGUGCUUUAAAGUGAAGUAUAAAGUGUUUAGAUUUUAUACUAUACAGUAUAGGAAUUUUUAUUAAGGUUUUCUAGGGUUAAACUUCUGGAUUGUUUAAGUUAAAAAUUAAUUUCUUUUUUUUAAUAUCUGUUAAAUUUAUCGAGAUUUUCUUUAUAAUUAAAUUAUGAAUUAAUAAUGUUUAAAUUAGUAAUAAGUUGAUUUUAAGAUUAAAUUAGUUUCUGAGGAACUUGUUUUAAUUACUAAAUAGCUUGAAGGAACUCGGCAAAAAUAGACUUGGACUGUUUAACAAAAACAUAGCCAUUAGAAGAUAUUUAUGGUUAAACCUGCCCAAUGUUACAGAUAAUCAAUGGCCGCGGUACCCUGACCGUGCUAAGGUAGCGUAAUCAGUUGGCUUUUAAAUGGAGUCGGGAAUGAAUGGGAAAACCGGGUUUAGCUGUCUCCUAGCUACUAUAUUGAAUUUACUGUUUAAGUGAAAAAGCUUAAAUAUAAUAAAAAGACGAGAAGACCCUUAGAAUUUUUUUUAAAGUAAGAUUUUCUUAUAAUGAUUUUGUUGGGGCGACAAAGAAAUAUUUAAAACUUUCUUUAAAUUUACAAGCCGAUAUUGUUAAGUAAGAAUAAAUUACCUGAGGGAUAACAGCAUUAUUCUACAGUUUGAGUUUGUGACCUCGAUGUUGGACUAGGAAACUAACAGGCUAGCCGUUUGUUGUGUGGGUUCUGUUCGAACUUUAAUUCCU